Molecule: ribosomal RNA, 478 nt
Filed under: uncultured bacterium
Lineage: Bacteria
Description: partial 16S ribosomal RNA
Rfam family: Bacterial small subunit ribosomal RNA
Source: RNAcentral
AACAAACGCUGGCGGCGUGCCUAAUACAUGCAAGUCGAACGAGGAAAGCUUUCGGGGGAGUACUAGUGGCGCACGGGUGAGGAAUACAUGGGUAAUCUGCCCUCGAGUUGGGGAUAACCAGUCGAAAGAUUGGCUAAUACCGAAUAAGACCACAGGAUCUGCGGAUCUAGGGGUUAAAGGUUUUUCGCUUGAGGAUGAGCCCAUGCGGGAUUAGCUAGUUGGUGAGGUAAUGGCUCACCAAGGCUACGAUCCCUAACUGGUCUUAGAGGAUGAUCAGUCACACUGGAACUGAGACACGGUCCAGACUCAUACGGGAGGCAGCAGUAGGGAAUAUUGCACAAUGGGGGAAACCCUGAUGCAGCGACGCCGCGUGAGUGAUGAAGGCCUUCGGGUCGUAAAGCUCUGUCGUAUGGGACUAACACAAUGAAGGUACCAUGCAAGAAAGGAUCGGCUAACUUCGUGCCAGCCGCCGCUGUAA